UACCUCAUCCCUCCUCUCCAUCUAAUUUGGUCCGAGCUCCAAUUCCUACCACCUCCUCUUUCAUGACCUCAUCCUCUUUCUAAACCUCGUCGAUGUCCUUGUUGCUCCUCUUCAUCCUUUCUCUCCAUUAGACCUAGUCCUAAGCCCCACACAAGCCCCGCCCACUUCCACCACCUUUUCUUCCAGAAACAUCUUCUCUUCAUCCUUUCUAAACUCAGCCAUUGUUCUCAUCUCUUCUCUCCAUCUAAUCUGGUCACGAGCCCAUCGCACUCCUAUCACCUCUUCCUCUUCCAACACCUCCUCCUCUUCUUCUCUAAACCCUACAACUAUUUUCAUCUAUCCUCUCUAUCCCUCUUCUUUAUCCAACACAAUCCUAAUCUCUACCCACUCCCCUUCUCAUACCUCCUCCCCAUCGGCCCCAACCUUAUCAUCUCCUUCACCUCUUUUUUCUCCUAUAUCACCGACCUCUUCGUCGUCGCUAUCGUAGCCGUAUUGCUACAUUCGACCCUAUCUAUGGCAUCUCUUAUACCACCCUUCCCAUCACUGUCAUCUUCUCUAUGUCCUAUUCUAUACCCUUGGUCAUACGCUACACGAAGAUCAAGAGCCGAAGCCCUGGCUUCAACCCUACUACCUUCGUCUAC
Molecule: long non-coding RNA, 641 nt
Filed under: Phoenix dactylifera (date palm)
Lineage: Eukaryota; Viridiplantae; Streptophyta; Magnoliopsida; Arecales; Arecaceae
Description: long non-coding RNA (PDAC_LNC019001)
Source: RNAcentral